Wyeomyia smithii (pitcher-plant mosquito) is the source of this 288-nucleotide long non-coding RNA. RefSeq lists it as uncharacterized. The record is from RefSeq and is a predicted model, not a curated record. NCBI's taxonomy places the organism in Eukaryota, Metazoa, Arthropoda, Insecta, Diptera, Culicidae. The transcript has 3 exons.
CCAUGCGCUACGUUACCAUCAGCCCUCUAUUUCUACUAACUUCGCUCAUGUUCAUAUAUAUUUACCACGUGGGCACCAAUUUGGAUAAGUUUAUCACUAGUGCAUUCAUCGCUGUUUUGUGCGUUAAUUCUAUCCUAAGAACGCUAACCGUGGUUCGCAAGCGCCACCAGUUCGAACAGUUUCUACAGAGAAUUUCCUCCGUCUACGAGGAGAUUAAGAAAAUUGAUGACCACACAGUGCGGAAAAUUCUUUCCAGUUUCACUACACAGGCAAGAAUGCUGUCAUUGG